UACGCCCUACGGGGGAAAGCAGGGGACCUUCGGGCCUUGCGCGAUUGGAUAUGCCCAGGUGGGAUUAGCUAGUUGGUGAGGUAAAUGGCUCACAAGGCGACGAUCCCUAGCUGGUCUGAGAGGAUGAUCAGCCACACUGGAACUGAGACACGGUCCAGACUCCUACGGGAGGCAGCAGUGGGGAAUAUUGCACAAUGGGGGAAACCCUGAUGCAGCCAUGCCGCGUGUGUGAAGAAGGCCUUCGGGUUGUAAAGCACUUUCAGCGAGGAGGAAAGGUCAGUAGCUAAUAUCUGCUGACUGUGACGUUCACUCGCCAGAACAAGCACCGGCUAACUCCGUGCCCAAGCAGCCCAGGCGGGGUCAAANUAACCGGGACGGGGUGCCAAAGNACGCCUACAACACCCNGCGAAAUUUCACCUGGGGAGCCGGUCACAAAGGCACGCCAACGGACAAGGCCGGGACCAGGGAANUCAAAGCUUCCGACCAUCGCUCGANAACAAGCCCCCAGGCGGCCAUCCAAAUACCACUCGGGCAANNCUCGGCACCUCUACAAACACACACACGAACGGGGCCAACCACACGCCUCAACACAAACNCCCC
RNAcentral lists this ribosomal RNA (600 nucleotides) under uncultured bacterium. RNAcentral's name for it is "bacterial SSU rRNA". The stretch from base 1 to 383 matches the Rfam family "Bacterial small subunit ribosomal RNA", at positions 188 to 535 of the family's 1533-position model. The record is from RNAcentral.